GGAAUAUUGCACAAUGGGGGAAACCCUGAUGCAGCGACGCCGCGUUAGUGAAGAAGUAUUUCGGUAUGUAAAGCUCUAUCAGCAGGGAAGAAAAUGACGGUACCUGACUAAGAAGCCCCGGCGAACUACGUGCCAGCAGCCGCGGUAAUACGUAGGCGGCAAGCGUUAUCCGGAUUUACUGGGAGUAAAGGGAGCGUAGACGGCCAGACAAGUCAGAAGUGAAAACCCGCGGCUCAACUGCGGGAGUGCUUUUGAAACUGUUUGGCUGGAGUGCAGGAGAGGUAAGUGGAAUUCCUAGUGUAGCGGUGAAAUGCGUAGAGAUUAGGAGGAACACCAGUGGCGAAGGCGGCUUACUGGACUGUAACUGACGUUGAGGCUCGAAAGCGUGGGGAGCAAA
Molecule: ribosomal RNA, 397 nt
Filed under: uncultured bacterium
Lineage: Bacteria
Description: bacterial SSU rRNA
Rfam family: Bacterial small subunit ribosomal RNA
Source: RNAcentral